This is a long non-coding RNA of Hipposideros armiger (great roundleaf bat), 318 nucleotides long. RefSeq lists it as uncharacterized. The record is from RefSeq and is a predicted model, not a curated record. Lineage: Eukaryota; Metazoa; Chordata; Mammalia; Chiroptera; Hipposideridae. The transcript is spliced from 2 exons.
GAGGGCUACUGGAAGAAAAGGGGGCAGGAGAGCUUCUACCCGUAUGUGGAGGUAGUUUUCACCAUCACCAACGAGACCCACAAGUUCCACGUCCCCCUGCUGCUGACCCCCUGGUCCUACACCACGUACCGUGGGAGUUGACCGCCAGCUGGCCUUGAGCACCGAUCCCAUCACCGUGGCCCCUGACCCACCCCCAGCCCUCCACAGUGGGUUCCAUGCUCAUCAUGGGGCCUCAGGCCCCACUUUCUGUGGGGGGUUCUGGCCCCCCAUUUCCCAGUGGAACCUGUGACUCGGGCAUCAAUAAAGUCGGUGCUGGCA